RNAcentral lists this ribosomal RNA (361 nucleotides) under uncultured Phyllobacterium sp. RNAcentral's name for it is "bacterial SSU rRNA". It matches the Rfam family "Bacterial small subunit ribosomal RNA", at positions 1108 to 1470 of the family's 1533-position model. Lineage: Bacteria; Pseudomonadati; Pseudomonadota; Alphaproteobacteria; Hyphomicrobiales; Phyllobacteriaceae. The record is from RNAcentral.
CCCCUAGUUGCCAUCAUUCAGUUGAGCACUUUAGGGGGACUGCCGGUGAUAAGCCGAGAGGAAGGUGGGGAUGACGUCAAGUCCUCAUGGCCCUUACGGGCUGGGCUACACACGUGCUACAAUGGUGGUGACAGUGGGCAGCGAGACCGCGAGGUCGAGCUAAUCUCCAAAAGCCAUCUCAGUUCGGAUUGCACUCUGCAACUCGAGUGCAUGAAGUCGGAAUCGCUAGUAAUCGUGGAUCAGCAUGUCACGGUGAAUACGUUCCCGGGUCUUGUACACACCGCCCGUCACACCAUGGGAGCGGGUCUCGCCAGAAGUAGGUAGCCUUUCCGCAAGGAGGGCGCUUACCACGGCGGGGUUC